AACGAACGCUGGCGGCGCGCCUAAUACAUGCAAGUCGAGCGAGAAGACGUAGCAAUACGUUUGUAAAGCGGCGAACGGGUGAGGAAUACAUGGGUAACCUACCCUCGAGUGGGGAAUAACUAGCCGAAAGGUUAGCUAAUACCGCGUACGCUCCUUGGACUUCGGUUCAGGGAGGAAAGCGAUACCGUGGGUAUCGCGCUCUUGGAUGGGCUCAUGUCCUAUCAGCUUGUUGGUGAGGAACGGCUCACCAAGGCUUCGACGGUAGCUGGUCUGAGAGGACGAUCAGCCACACUGGCACUGCGACACGGGCCAGACUCCGUACGGGAGGCAGCAGUAAGGAAUAUUGCGCAAUGGGACGAAAGCCUGACGCAGCGACGCCGCGGUGGGGGAUGGAAGGUC
Molecule: ribosomal RNA, 399 nt
Filed under: uncultured bacterium
Lineage: Bacteria
Description: bacterial SSU rRNA
Rfam family: Bacterial small subunit ribosomal RNA
Source: RNAcentral